AAGAACUGGUCGGUGAUUUAGGUAGUUUCAUGUUGUUGGGGCUAUGGCUCUCUCUUUCUCGACAGCACGAAACUGCCUUCAUUACUUCAGUUUCUAAUCAU
This is a microRNA precursor of Anolis carolinensis (green anole), 101 nucleotides long. Ensembl annotates it as aca-mir-196a-1. Its record names the gene aca-mir-196a-1. The record is from Ensembl. NCBI's taxonomy places the organism in Eukaryota, Metazoa, Chordata, Lepidosauria, Squamata, Anolidae.